ACGGGGGGUGCGAGCGUUGUCCGGAAUCACUGGGCGUAAAGGGCGCGUAGGUGGUCUUGUAAGUCUGUGGUGAAAGCCCGGGGCUCAACCCCGGGUCGGCCGUCGAUACUCUCGUGCUUGAGCACUGUAGAGGCAGGUGGAAUUCCGGGUGUAGCGGUGGAAUGCGUAGAGAUCCGGAAGAACACCGGUGGCGAAGGCGGCCUGCUGGGCAGUAGCUGACACUGAGGCGCGACAGCGUGGGGAGCAAACAGGA
Molecule: ribosomal RNA, 253 nt
Filed under: uncultured prokaryote
Description: partial 16S ribosomal RNA
Rfam family: Bacterial small subunit ribosomal RNA
Source: RNAcentral